GCUUCCUGAGAAAAGGAACAGGAGGAUGAGAGGUUCAAUGUUUUACACAUUGCUGGUCUGAUAUCUCAGCUUCAUUCACAGAGGACAUAGAAAGACAUAAAAUGAACAUUCCUCUUUGGAUAUAUCUCCUAAAGGAAAGGUGGCAAAUGUCAUGCAGCAAGCAGUUGAAUUAAAUCCCAAAGGCAAAGUAGGAGUACAUGUUCAGUUUCCUGCUGGGCCCUGCUGACACCACACUAGCAAAAGUG
RNAcentral lists this long non-coding RNA (245 nucleotides) under Macaca nemestrina (pig-tailed macaque). RNAcentral's name for it is "lncRNA (ENSMNEG00000046181.1)". The record is from RNAcentral. Lineage: Eukaryota; Metazoa; Chordata; Mammalia; Primates; Cercopithecidae.